This 863-nucleotide ribosomal RNA is filed under the name Coniochaeta ligniaria. RNAcentral describes it as "SSU rRNA". The stretch from base 1 to 594 matches the Rfam family "Eukaryotic small subunit ribosomal RNA", at positions 626 to 1831 of the family's 1831-position model. The record is from RNAcentral. Lineage: Eukaryota; Fungi; Ascomycota; Sordariomycetes; Coniochaetales; Coniochaetaceae.
GCUCGUAGUUGAACCUUGGGCCUGGCUGGCCGGUCCGCCUCACCGCGUGCACUGGUCCGGCCGGGCCUUUCCCUCUGGGGAACCGCAUGCCCUUCACUGGGUGUGUCGGGGAACCAGGACUUUUACUUUGAACAAAUUAGAUCGCUUAAAGAAGGCCUAUGCUCGAAUACAUUAGCAUGGAAUAAUAGAAUAGGACGUGUGGUUCUAUUUUGUUGGUUUCUAGGACCGCCGUAAUGAUUAAUAGGGACAGUCGGGGGCAUCAGUAUUCAAUUGUCAGAGGUGAAAUUCUUGGAUUUAUUGAAGACUAACUACUGCGAAAGCAUUUGCCAAGGAUGUUUUCAUUAAUCAGGAACGAAAGUUAGGGGAUCGAAGACGAUCAGAUACCGUCGUAGUCUUAACCAUAAACUAUGCCGACUAGGGAUCGGACGAUGUUAUAUUUUGACUCGUUCGGCACCUUACACGAAAGUAAAGUUUCUGGGUUCUGGGGGGAGUAUGGUCGCAAGGCUGAAACUUAAAGAAAUUGACGGAAGGGCACCACCAGGGGUAAACGUCCGCAGACUCUGCCCCUAAUAGCAGCCCAGCGAUGGGUCAAGUGGUGUGCCUUGGCUACUUAUUCGAGGCCGAAAAUUGCUAGUCUGCUUACUGCAGGCGACACCUUCAAACUGACGGGGAACCCCUAAAGCUUCCAGCGACCAAGCGGCGGUCGAAAGGCGCGUCCGUGGCCAGACUAAUCACCUGGGUAUGGUAAAACCCGCUGGAAGAUGUACCAAUGGCAAUCCGCAGCCAAGCUCCUAACCGGCGUCACCGCCGGCACGAGAAGGUUCAGAGACUUGACGGAGGUGGGUUCGUACGCUCAGUACGGG